Molecule: ribosomal RNA, 490 nt
Filed under: uncultured bacterium
Lineage: Bacteria
Description: partial 16S ribosomal RNA
Rfam family: Bacterial small subunit ribosomal RNA
Source: RNAcentral
AUUGAACGCUGGUGGCAGGCUUAACACAUGCAGGUCGAACGGUAACAGGAAUUUUCUUGCUAAUUUGCUGACGAGUGGCGGACGGGUUAGUCAUGCUUGUGAAUCUGGCUUAUGGAGGGGGUUAACUACGGGAAACUGUUGCUAAUACCGCGUAUAUUCUUCGGAUUAAAGGGUUGGACUUUCUAGCCACCUUCCAUAAGAUGAGCCCAAGUGGGAUUAGGUAGUUGGUUAGGUAAAGGCUGACCAAGCCGACGAUCUCUAGCUGGUCUGAGAGGAUGACCAGGCACACGGGAACGGAGACACGGAACAGAAACCUAAGGGAGGAAGCAGGGGGGAAUAUUGGACAAUGGGGGGAAGCCUGAUGCAGCAAUGCCGCGUGAAUGAAGAAGGACUUCGGGUUGUAAAGUUCUUUAGGUGACGAGGAAGGAAGAUAGGUUAAUAGCCUAUCAAAUUGACGUUAAUCACAGAAGAAGCACCGGCUAACUCCGUG